AGCAGCCGCGGUAAUUCCAGCUCCAAUAGCGUAUAUUAAAGUUGUUGCAGUUAAAAAGCUCGUAGUUGAAUUUCGGAAUCAAUAUGUCGGUCGUGCUUCGGUACGUACUGGUAUCAUUGGUUUCUCCUUUCUGACGAACCAUGAUGUCAUUAAUUUGGUGUUAUGGGGAGUUAGGACUGUUACUUUGAAAAAAUUAGAGUGUUUAAAGCAGGCUUUAGCUUGAAUACAUUAGCAUGGAAUAAUGAAAUAGGACGUUCGAACCUAUUUUGUUGGUUUCUAGGAUCAACGUAAUGAUUAAUAGGGAUAGUUGGGGGCAUUAGUAUUCAAUUGUCAGAGGUGAAAUUCUUGGAUUUAUUGAAGACUAACUACUGCGAAAGCAUUUGCCAAGGAUGUUUUCAUUAAUCAAGAACGAAAGUUAGGGGAUCGAAGACGAUCAGAUACCGUCGUAGUCUUAACCAUAAACUAUGCCGACUAGGGAUCGGAUGAUGUUAAUUUUUUAAUGACUCAUUCGGCGCCUUACG
Molecule: ribosomal RNA, 521 nt
Filed under: uncultured Glomus
Lineage: Eukaryota; Fungi; Glomeromycota; Glomeromycetes; Glomerales; Glomeraceae
Description: SSU rRNA
Rfam family: Eukaryotic small subunit ribosomal RNA
Source: RNAcentral